GACGAACGCUGGCGGCGUGCUUAACACAUGCAAGUCGAACGGAAAGGCCCUGCUUUUGUGGGGUGCUCGAGUGGCGAACGGGUGAGUAACACGUGAGUAACCUGCCCUUGACUUUGGGAUAACUUCAGGAAACUGGGGCUAAUACCGGAUAGGAUCUCCUGCUGCAUUGUGGGGGUUGGAAAGUUUCGGCGGUUGGGGCUGGACUCGCGGCUUAUCAGCUUGUUGGUGGGGUAGUGGCUUACCAAGGCUUUGACGGGUAGCCGGCCUGAGAGGGUGACCGGCCACAUUGGGACUGAGAUACGGCCCAGACUCCUACGGGAGGCAGCAGUGGGGAAUAUUGCACAAUGGGCGGAAGCCUGAUGCAGCAACGCCGCGUGCGGGAUGACGGCCUUCGGGUUGUAAACCGCUUUCGCCUGUGACGAAGCGUGAGUGACGGCAAUGGGUAAAGAAGCACCGGCUAACUACGUG
Molecule: ribosomal RNA, 468 nt
Filed under: uncultured bacterium
Lineage: Bacteria
Description: partial 16S ribosomal RNA
Rfam family: Bacterial small subunit ribosomal RNA
Source: RNAcentral